AGCGAACGCUGGCGGCAGGCCUAACACAUGCAAGUCGAACGGACCCUUCGGGGUUAGUGGCGGACGGGUGAGUAACACGUGGGAACGUGCCUUUAGGUUCGGAAUAGCUCCUGGAAACGGGUGGUAAUGCCGAAUGUGCCCUUCGGGGGAAAGAUUUAUCGCCUUUAGAGCGGCCCGCGUCUGAUUAGCUAGUUGGUGAGGUAACGGCUCACCAAGGCGACGAUCAGUAGCUGGUCUGAGAGGAUGACCAGCCUCACUGGGACUGAGACACGGCCCAGACUCCUACGGGAGGCAGCAGUGGGGAAUCUUGCGCAAUGGGCGAAAGCCUGACGCAGCCAUGCCGCGUGAAUGAUGAAGGUCUUAGGAUUGUAAAAUUCUUUCACCGGGGACGAUAAUGACGGUACCCGGAGAAGAAGCCCCGGCUAACUUCGUG
This 433-nucleotide ribosomal RNA is filed under the name uncultured bacterium. RNAcentral describes it as "partial 16S ribosomal RNA". It matches the Rfam family "Bacterial small subunit ribosomal RNA", at positions 29 to 507 of the family's 1533-position model. The record is from RNAcentral.